Molecule: ribosomal RNA, 506 nt
Filed under: uncultured bacterium
Lineage: Bacteria
Description: partial 16S ribosomal RNA
Rfam family: Bacterial small subunit ribosomal RNA
Source: RNAcentral
AGUGAACGCUGGCGGUAGGCCUAACACAUGCAAGUCGAACGGCAGCACAGGAGAGCUUGCUCUCUGGGUGGCGAGUGGCGGACGGGUGAGGAAUACAUCGGAAUCUACUCUGUCGUGGGGGAUAACGUAGGGAAACUUACGCUAAUACCGCAUACGACCUACGGGUGAAAGCAGGGGACCUUCGGGCCUUGCGCGAUUGAAUGAGCCGAUGUCGGAUUAGCUAGUUGGCGGGGUAAAGGCCCACCAAGGCGACGAUCCGUAGCUGGUCUGAGAGGAUGAUCAGCCACACUGGAACUGAGACACGGUCCAGACUCCUACGGGGGGCAGCAGGGGGGAAUAUUGGACAAUGGGCGCAAGCCUGAUCCAGCCAUACCGCGUGGGUGAAGAAGGCCUUCGGGUUGUAAAGCCCUUUUGUUGGGAAAGAAAUCCAGCUGGCUAGUACCCGGUUGGGAUGACGGUACCCAAAGAAUAAGCACCGGCUAACUUCGUGCCAGCAGCCGCAGUAA